GCAGCUCAGUGAUAGAGCCCUUGCCUAGCAUGCAUGAGGUCCUGAGUUCAAUUCCCAAGAACG
RNAcentral lists this transfer RNA (63 nucleotides) under Marmota monax (woodchuck). RNAcentral describes it as "tRNA.Ala". Lineage: Eukaryota; Metazoa; Chordata; Mammalia; Rodentia; Sciuridae. The record is from RNAcentral.